Molecule: ribosomal RNA, 985 nt
Filed under: Rhizobium leguminosarum
Lineage: Bacteria; Pseudomonadati; Pseudomonadota; Alphaproteobacteria; Hyphomicrobiales; Rhizobiaceae
Description: bacterial SSU rRNA
Rfam family: Bacterial small subunit ribosomal RNA
Source: RNAcentral
GGAAACGCUAAUACCGCAUAACGUCGCAAGACCAAAGAGGGGGACCUUCGGGCCUCUUGCCAUCAGAUGUGCCCCAGAUGGGAUUAGCUAGUAGGUGGGGUAACGGCUCACCUAGGCGACGAUCCCUAGCUGGUCUGAGAGGAUGAGCCACACUGGAACUGAGACACGGUCCAGACUCCUACGGGUGGGGAAUAUUGCAGGGCGCAAGCCUGAUGCAGCCAUGCCGCGUGUAUGAAGAAGGCCUUCGGGUUGUAACUUUCGGGGAGGAAGGCGCUGAGGUUAAUAACCUCAGCGAUUGACGUUACCCGCAGAAAAAGCACCGGCUAGUGCCAGCAGCCGCCGGAGGGUGCAAGCGUUAAUCGGAAUUACUGGGCGUAAAGCGCACGCAGGCGGUCUGUCAAGUCGGAUGUGAAAGGGGCUCAAGGAACUGCAUUCGAAACUGGCAGGCUAGAGUCUUGUAGAGAUUCCAGGGGUGAAAUGCGUAGAGGGAGGAAUACCGGUGGCGAAGGCGGCCCCCUAAGACUGACGCUCACGUGCGAAAGCGUGGGGAGCACAGGAUUAGAUACCUGGUAGUCCACGCCGUAAACGAUGUCGACUUGGAGCGUUUGCCCUUGAGGCGUGGCUUCCGGAGCUAAACGCGUUUAAGUCGACCCGCCCUGGGGAGUACGGCUCGCAAGGUUUAAAAACUCAAAUGGAAUUGACGGGGGGCCCCGCACCAAGCGGGUGGAGCUAUGUGGUUUAAUUCGGAUGCAACGCGCAAGAACCCUUACCAUACUCCUUGACCAUGCCAGAGAACUUUCACAGAGAUGGAUUGGUGCCUUCGGGAACUCGUGAGACAGGUGCUGCAUGGCUGGUCGUCAGCUCGUGUUGUGAAAUGUUGGGUUAAGUCCCGCAACGAGCGCAACCCUUAUCCUUUGUUGCCAGCGGUUAGUGCCGGGAACUCAAAGGAGACUGCCAGUGAUAAACUGGAGGAAGGUGGGGAUGA